GGACGAACGCUGGCGGCGUGCUUAACACAUGCAAGUCGAACGGAAAGGCCCUGCUUUUGUGGGGUGCUCGAGUGGCGAACGGGUGAGUAACACGUGAGUAACCUGCCCUUGACUUUGGGAUAACUUCAGGAAACUGGGGCUAAUACCGGAUAGGGGCUCCUGCUGCAUGGUGGGGGUUGGAAAGUUUCGGCGGUUGGGGAUGGACUCGCGGCUUAUCAGCUUGUUGGUGGGGUAGUGGCUUACCAAGGCUUUGACGGGUAGCCGGCCUGAGAGGGUGACCGGCCACAUUGGGACUGAGAUACGGCCCAGACUCCUACGGGAGGCAGCAGUGGGGAAUAUUGCACAAUGGGCGGAAGCCUGAUGCAGCAACGCCGCGUGCGGGAUGACGGCCUUCGGGUUGUAAACCGCUUUCGCCUGUGACGAAGCGUGAGUGACGGUAAUGGGUAAAGAAGCACCGGCUAACUACGUG
This 469-nucleotide ribosomal RNA is filed under the name uncultured bacterium. Its description in RNAcentral is "partial 16S ribosomal RNA". It matches the Rfam family "Bacterial small subunit ribosomal RNA", at positions 27 to 507 of the family's 1533-position model. The record is from RNAcentral.